UACAGAGACCUCAAGCGUUAUCCGGAAUCAUUGGGCGUAAAGCGUACCGAUAGGUUGUUUUACAAGUCAGGAGUGAAAUCUCAAGGCUCAACUUUGAGACUGUCUCUUGAAACUGUAAAACUAGAGGGGUAAAGAGGAAGCUGGAACGAACGGUGUAGUAGUGAAAUGCGUUGAUAUCGUGCGGAACACCAAUAGCGAAGGCAGGCUUCUGGGUACCACCUGACACUGCUAGGACGAAAGCGUGGGGAGCGAAUGGG
RNAcentral lists this ribosomal RNA (257 nucleotides) under uncultured bacterium. RNAcentral's name for it is "partial 16S ribosomal RNA". It matches the Rfam family "Bacterial small subunit ribosomal RNA", at positions 524 to 776 of the family's 1533-position model. The record is from RNAcentral.